This 498-nucleotide ribosomal RNA is filed under the name uncultured bacterium. Its description in RNAcentral is "partial 16S ribosomal RNA". It matches the Rfam family "Bacterial small subunit ribosomal RNA", at positions 28 to 507 of the family's 1533-position model. The record is from RNAcentral.
GACGAACGCUGGCGGCGUGCCUAAUACAUGCAAGUCGGACGAGAGCGACCGGUGCUUGCACUGGUCAAUCUAGUGGCGAACGGGUGAGUAACACGUGGGUAACCUGCCCAUCAGAGGGGGAUAACAUCCGGAAACGGAUGCUAAAACCGCAUAGGUCUUCGAGCCGCAUGGCUUGAAGAGGAAAAGAGGCGCAAGCUUCUGCUGAUGGAUGGACCCGCGGUGCAUUAGCUAGUUGGUGAGGUAACGGCUCACCAAGGCCGUGAUGCAUAGCCGACCUGAGAGGGUGAUCGGCCACAUUGGGACUGAGACACGGCCCAAACUCCUACGGGAGGCAGCAGUAGGGAAUCUUCCGCAAUGGACGCAAGUCUGACGGAGCAACGCCGCGUGAGUGAAGAAGGUUUUCGGAUCGUAAAACUCUGUUGUUAGAGAAGAACAAGUGCUAGAGUAACUGUUAGCGCCUUGACGGUAUCUAACCAGAAAGCCACGGCUAACUACGUG